AUACGGAGGAUCCGAGCGUUAUCCGGAUUUAUUGGGUUUAAAGGGAGCGUAGGUGGACAGUUAAGUCAGUUGUGAAAGUUUGCGGCUCGACCGUAAAAUUGCAGUUGAUACUGGCUGUCUUGAGUACAGUAGAGGUGGGCGGAAUUCGUGGUGUAGCGGUGAAAUGCUUAGAUAUCACGAAGAACUCCGAUUGCGAAGGCAGCUCACUGGACUGCAACUGACACUGAUGCUCGAAAGUGUGGGUAUCAAACAGGAUUAGAUACCCUGGUAGUCCACACAGUAAACGAUGAAUACUCGCUGUUUGCGAUAUACAGUAAGCGGCCAAGCGAAAGCAUUAAGUAUUCCACCUGGGGAGUACGCCGGCAACGGUGAAACUCAAAUGAAUUGACGG
RNAcentral lists this ribosomal RNA (391 nucleotides) under uncultured bacterium. RNAcentral's name for it is "partial 16S ribosomal RNA". It matches the Rfam family "Bacterial small subunit ribosomal RNA", at positions 523 to 916 of the family's 1533-position model. The record is from RNAcentral.